Molecule: unclassified non-coding RNA, 350 nt
Filed under: soil metagenome
Description: partial contains 5.8S ribosomal RNA, internal transcribed spacer 2, and large subunit ribosomal RNA
Rfam family: 5.8S ribosomal RNA (bases 1-120)
Source: RNAcentral
GAUGAAGAACGCAGCGAAAUGCGAUAAGUAAUGUGAAUUGCAGAAUUCAGUGAAUCAUCGAAUCUUUGAACGCACAUUGCGCCCGUCGGCACUCCGGCGGGCAUGCCUGUCCGAGCGUCAUUUCAACCCUCAGGACCCCCUUCCGGGGGGGACCUGGCGCUGGGGAUCAGCGGCCUCCGGGCCCCUGUCCCCCAAAUGCAGUGGCGGUCGCGCCGCAGCCUCCCCUGCGUAGUAGCACACCUCGCACCGGAGAGCGGCUCGGCCACGCCGUGAAACCCCCAAUUUUUCAAGGUUGACCUCGUAUCAGGUAGGAAUACCCGCUGAACUUAAGCAUAUCAAUAAGCGGAGGA